UGCUCAUCACAGAGAACAUACUCAGAUACUCUAAAUCUUAGAAACUUUGAAAGCCGAAGCUGUUCAUCAGAUAUACAUGCUGUUUACACUACAAGGUUCAUUAAAUUCAGAUUCCAAAACAUUACAGCAAUUAAGACAUAUAUAAUUAUUAACAAUCUGAUAUUGAAACAGAAUUCCUCUAUUUUCCAUGCACUGACCAAGUAACCGUAAAACUUGGGAAGAAUAAUCAAGCCGGAAAGAGGUGAGAAACAGCUCUCAUACGGAUGAAGAGAUGGAGCC
This 279-nucleotide long non-coding RNA is filed under the name Gossypium barbadense (sea-island cotton). RNAcentral's name for it is "long non-coding RNA (GBAR_LNC005115)". Lineage: Eukaryota; Viridiplantae; Streptophyta; Magnoliopsida; Malvales; Malvaceae. The record is from RNAcentral.